AGCUCCAAUAGUGUAUAUUAAAGUUGCUGCAGUUAAAAAGCUCGUAGUCGGAAUUUGGCUUGGGGGAUAUGGACCCUCCGUAUGGAGCGUGUCCACAAUAUCUCUCGGCCAGCUUUUUUGGGGAUUCGCCGGCUGGCUCUUUACUGAGUUGGCCGGAUUGACCCCAAACUGUUACCUUGAAAAAAUUAGAGUGUUCAAAGCAGGCAUUAUUAGCCCGAAUAGAUUAGCAUGGAAUGAUGAAAUAUGACCGGAGUCUUGUUUUGUUGGUUUUACGGGGCUCCGGUAAUGAUUAAUAGGAACAGUUGGGGGCAUUUGAAUUGAGUGGUUAGAGGUGAAAUUCUUGGAUCCAUUCAAGUCAAACUACUGCGAAAGCAUUUGCCCAGCAUGUUUCCA
This 393-nucleotide ribosomal RNA is filed under the name uncultured eukaryote. Its description in RNAcentral is "SSU rRNA". It matches the Rfam family "Eukaryotic small subunit ribosomal RNA", at positions 587 to 972 of the family's 1831-position model. The record is from RNAcentral.